RNAcentral lists this long non-coding RNA (246 nucleotides) under Nicotiana benthamiana. Its description in RNAcentral is "long non-coding RNA (NBEN_LNC037917)". The record is from RNAcentral. Lineage: Eukaryota; Viridiplantae; Streptophyta; Magnoliopsida; Solanales; Solanaceae.
AUUAUGAUUAGAACCGUAUAAAAUUAUUUUCUAUUAUCUACUUUGUAUAACCUGAUUUAAUUACUCGUGGAUAUUGUUAGUCAAUUUUUAAUUUUCAGGAUUUAUGCAAUUGCUGUUAAACACAUUCGACAGGGUCAGUUGACCCUAGUAGCAAAUUGGGCCAAGUGUGGGCCUAGAUGGGUGGCUUGGUCGGGGUCACCUUUAGUUUGGUACUGGACCCUUUUUCCACAUAUUGGGUUUAACUUC